RNAcentral lists this ribosomal RNA (480 nucleotides) under uncultured bacterium. RNAcentral describes it as "partial 16S ribosomal RNA". It matches the Rfam family "Bacterial small subunit ribosomal RNA", at positions 28 to 523 of the family's 1533-position model. The record is from RNAcentral.
GACAAACGCUGGCGGCGUGCCUAAUACAUGCAAGUCGAACGACGAAAGCCUUCGGGCAAGUAAGAGUGGCGCACGGGCGUGGAACACGUAGAUAAUCUGCCCUUCAGUGGGGAAUAACUCUCCGAAAGGAGUGCUAAUACCGCAUAAGACCACAAGCUCUGCGGAGCAAGGGGUUAAAGGAUUUAUUCGCUGAAGGAUGAGUCUGCGUCCGAUUAGCUAGUUGGUGAGGUAAUGGCUUACCAAGGCAAUGUUCGGUAGAUGGUCUGAGAGGAUGAUCAUCCGCACUGGAACUGAGACACGGUCCAGACUCCUACGGGAGGCAGCAGUAGGGAAUAUUGCACAAUGGGGGAAACCCUGAUGCAGCAACGCCGCGUGAGUGAUGAAGGCUCUAGGGUCGUAAAGCUCUGUCGUAUGGGAAGAAAAAAAUGACGGUACCAUACAAGAAAGGACCGGCCAACUUCGUGCCAGCCGCCGCGGUAA